GCUACACAUGCAGUCGACGAUGAAGCCGGAGCUUGCUCUGGUGGAUUAGUGGCGAACGGGUGAGUAACACGUGAGUAACCUGCCCUUGACUCUGGAAUAAGCGUUGGAAACGACGUCUAAUACCGGAUACGAGCUUCCGCCGCAUGGUGAGGAGCUGGAAAGAAUUUCGGUCAAGGAUGGACUCGCGGCCUAUCAGGUAGUUGGUGAGGUAAUGGCUCACCAAGCCUACGACGGGUAGCCGGCCUGAGAGGGUGACCGGCCACACUGGAACUGAGACACGGUCCAGACUCCUACGGGAGGCAGCAGUGGGGAAUAUUGCACAAUGGGCGCAAGCCUGAUGCAGCAACGCCGCGUGAGGGACGACGGCCUUCGGGUUGUAAACCUCUUUUAGUAGGGAAGAAGCGAAAGUGACGGUACCUGCAGAAAAAGCACCGGCUAACUACGUGCCAGCAGCCGCGGUAAUACGUAGGGUGCAAGCGUUAUCCGGAAUUAUUGGCGUAAAGAGCUCGUAGGCGGUUUGUCGCGUCUGCUGUGA
RNAcentral lists this ribosomal RNA (535 nucleotides) under bacterium fme09x51p81. RNAcentral's name for it is "bacterial SSU rRNA". It matches the Rfam family "Bacterial small subunit ribosomal RNA", at positions 48 to 597 of the family's 1533-position model. The record is from RNAcentral.